This is a long non-coding RNA of Juglans microcarpa x Juglans regia, 1104 nucleotides long. RefSeq lists it as uncharacterized. The transcript is spliced from 3 exons. The record is from RefSeq and is a predicted model, not a curated record. Lineage: Eukaryota; Viridiplantae; Streptophyta; Magnoliopsida; Fagales; Juglandaceae.
AAGGCACGUAUGCCAACUGAUCCAUCUACACAACACGGUGGGUAAAAUUAUUGGCAACACGAAGCGGAAAGCCGCCAAAACAAUUUGUUUUUUGCUUGGUGAUGACGAUGCUGAUGGAAAUCUCCCUGAUUUUCCCUCUUCAUUCAUUUCAUUUCAUCUCUAUCUUCCCCUAACUCGCAACUAUUCUCUCUUCCUUUCUGCUUCUCUGUGCGUGUCUCAGAGAGAGAUAGACAGACAGGCAUACAUUCAAUCAAGAAAGAAGAAAGAUAAUGGCGGGUGUUGGAGUAGACGGGAGGAAGAGAGUUGAAGCUUCGUCGGAGGCCCAGAUCAACAUUUUUUCCUUCCCGCCAAAGAUUCCAGUGCUUUUGCCAGAUGGAAUGAUUCUUUGUGCGAUAUAUCUGCUGAAGGCAUAGCUUUUUUUUAUAUUUUCCAGCGAUAACUUUAGGGAGGUCUAUACGGAAGCUCAUUCUGGUUCAAAGGAUUUAAAACGGUUGCAAUUGAUGGUGUUGAGAAGUGGAAAUCCUUGACUGACGAGGUGAGUUUUCAAUUAUUUUGGUUCCUUCAAAGUUGAAUGCCAAAUUCUAUGAAAACAAGGUUUACCAGAAUAAAGCUUCCGAGCUUAAGGCCGAGUAUGACCGGGGCCUCUUGGAGAGUUACGAUGCUGAAGAUGAAGAUGUAGGCCAUCAGUUUUAGAUAUCGCAAAGUUAAUACUUUUGAUUCUGAGCUCGUUUUACUUGAACUAUGAUAUUUUUUUCCUAGUGUGUAGUUUCUGGUUUUGGUCAUUUAGGCUAUUUAUAUUGGUUUCAUUCUGAAUAAGCGGCUUCCUUUUCUUACCUUCGGAGGCUGAUGAGGUUCUGAGAAGGAGCAUCUGAUGGAGAGCAGGACAGAUUGCAUGUUGAAUUUUCAUGUCUGCUGAUUAGUUCUUGUCUCCUGUAAAUUUGGAUUUGGUUUAGUCUAGUAGUUUCGAGAGUAGAUAUUAAGCCUUAAGGGUUUUCUUAAGGGUUAUAUUUUUGGUUGGUUUGGGGUAUCAUAUGACAUAUGUAUUUCAUCUUAGAAUGUUACACUUGUUGGUAAACUCAUUUCCUUCAUAUAUUGUAUUAUGGU